Molecule: long non-coding RNA, 2442 nt
Filed under: Homo sapiens (human)
Lineage: Eukaryota; Metazoa; Chordata; Mammalia; Primates; Hominidae
Description: novel transcript
Source: RNAcentral
GCACCCGAGCCAGCAGCUGCGGAGGGGGGCUGAGGAGUGUGCGCAGGUGGCAGGACUGGCAGGCAGCUCCACCGGUGGCCCUGAUGAGAGAUCCACUAGGGGAAGCCAGCUGGGCUCCUGAGUGAGCCGAGGCCAAAUGUGGAGAUGGCAUAACCAGAAGAGGGAACGAACUGGCCUGGAUGUGACUCAUGCUUGGAAGGGAGCUGUCUGGAAGGACCACAGUACCUGCAGCCAACUUUGUUGUACUUCUUGUUCUUGGCAGAUCCUCAUUCCUACUGGAUAUCUGUUGCACGCCAAUUAUCUUAGGCUACAGCUGUUUACUGACAGCUGUUCUCUCUACUGCCCACCAGGCAGCCACCCUUUUGUGGCAAUCCAUGCCUCUGCCUCCCAAGUGGGGCUGCUUUGGCCGGGGCUUCACCCUUAGCUCAGGCACAGAGCUUCUGAUCUAAAUCAAUCCAAAGCUUGCAUUUCCAGCAAAAGUAUCAUUUCUUCUCAUUGGCUAUGAAUGAGGCUUCCAUUCAUCAGUCAUUUUUCUGGGGACUUCUGAGGGAAAGAUUCUUUCUCUGUCCUGCUAGAUUUUUACCUGAGGGAAUGUGAGGCCCAAAGUUGCUGCAGCCAUCUUGACAUCUUCAGUGGGAGCCAGUCUGAGAACAGAGGUGAGAGAGAGAGAGGGAGAGAGAGAGAGAAGCAGACCCUCGUGAUACAUUUCAACCUUUAAGCCAAGAUAGCAGCAAGCCCUAUUUCCAGACUUUUCAGUUACAUAAUCAAGUAAAUUUGCUGCUUUGUUUAAGCAUCUUUCUCUUUCCCUCUCACCUUCUGUCAUGGGAUGACUCAGCAAGAAGGCCCUUGCAAGAUGCUGACACCUUGAUAUUGGACUUCCUAGCCUUCAGAACUGUGAAGAAUAAAUUUCUUUUCUUUAUAAGUUGCCUAGUCGCUGGUAUUCCCUUAUAGCAGCACAAAAUGGACUAAGACGGGCACGAUAGAUUGACCUGGCUGUGUGACUGCAAUCUCUGGGCUUGGCUGAGGGCCAUUUGUGCCUGGAAUUGGAGGACACUGUGAAGACAUUGUCCAUUUCAGAAAGGCUUUGUUCCUAAGUCAGUGCCUCUGGCCUUCUCCACAGUGACCUUUGCCACACUCCACCCCAGGGGUCCACAUUCUUGUCAAAGGGUGAGAAAUCUUUUGUGACUGGCCAUGAUGAUGCCAUUGUAACACAGGUGGCCAAUCAGUUUAUACAUCUGUUUAUCCCCUUAAACAGGUCAUUUAUUUUCAUGCACAAUUGAAACUGUAAGUCAAACUCUGCUUCUUUAUGGUGGUAAAUAGUACGUUGAUUAUGCUAAAGAAAGAUUAUUAUCGUAAGUGAACACCUGUGUCUUGUAUCACAGUGGUACUACAUCAGGGAAACCUGGUGGUCUGUUUUAUUUAUUUAUUUACUUAUUCAAGAGACAGGAUCUCAUUCUGUCACACAGGCUGGAGUGCAGUAGCACAAUUGUAGCUCAUUGCUCUAACUCCUAUGCUCAAACAAUCCUCCUGCCUCAAUCUCUCAAGUAGCUGGGACUGCAGGUGUGUGCCAUACAGUCAGCUAAUUUUUUUGUUUUUGUUUUUGAGACAGAGUCUCUCGCUCUGUCGCCCAGGCUGGAGUGCAGUGGCACAAUCUUGGCUCACUGCAACCUCCGCCUCCUGGGUUCAAGUGAUUCUCCUGUCUCAGCCUCCCGAGUUGCUGGGAUUACAGGCAUACACCACCACGUCCAGCUAAUUUUUUUGUAUUUUUAGUAGAGAUGAGUUUUCAUCAUGUUGGUUAGGCUGGUCUCGAACUCCUGACCUCAAAUGAUCGCCCGCCUCAGCCUCCCACAGUGUUGGGAUUAUAGGCAUGAGCCACUGGGCCUGGCCUAAUUUUUUUUUUUUUUUUUAGAUUUUGUAGAGGCAGGGUCUUCCUAUGUUGCCCAGGCUGGUCUUGAACUCUUGGCCUCAAGUAAUCCUCCCACUUUGGUCUCCAAAGUACCAGGAUUACAGAUGGGAGCCACCAUGCCUGGCCAUGUUUUAUUUUUAAUAGGAAAUUUGUUCGCAUGGCUGAAAGCUCAAAGGGUACAAAUAAAUGUUUGUGAAAACUUUCCUUCCCGCUCCUGUUUCCCAGGUGCCCAAUUCUCUUCCCCAGAGCUAAUCCAUUUCAUGCUUUUGAUGUAGCCUCCCAGAGUGACUUUAUGCAUAUUUAAGCAAACAAUGUAUUAUAUUCCCCCUUUGCCUCAACACUGGUGUAUGGACCUUCUGAGCCUUGCUCUUUUCACUGAAGAUAUCUUGGAUGUACUUGCAUGUAGUACAUAAAGAGCUUCUUCAUUCUUUUUGGUAGCGUCUGAGUAUCCCACAAUUUCAUAAUAGCAUGAUUUCAUUAAUGUCUGUUGAUGGACAUUUCAGUUGCUUUGUAUCUUUGGCUCUUGAAAACAAUGC